This 2039-nucleotide ribosomal RNA is filed under the name Pachylicus sp. DNA103873. RNAcentral's name for it is "eukaryotic LSU rRNA". It matches the Rfam family "Eukaryotic large subunit ribosomal RNA", at positions 103 to 1864 of the family's 3401-position model. Lineage: Eukaryota; Metazoa; Arthropoda; Arachnida; Opiliones; Zalmoxidae. The record is from RNAcentral.
AACAGCCCAUCGCCCAAUCCGCCGCCAGCCUGGCGGACCGGAAAUUUGGCGUAUAGGAGAGACCCUUCCGAGUUCCGACUCCGGUGCAAGUCCCCCUGACUGGGGCUCUUACCCCGAGAGGGUGCAAGGCCCGUAGCUGCCGGAAGGCGGUACUCGGAUGUCCUCUCCUGGGAGUCGGGUUGCUUGAGAGUGCAGCCCUAAUCAGGUGGUAAACUCCAUCUAAGGCUAAAUACGACCUGGAGACCGAUAGCGAACAAGUACCGUGAGGGAAAGUUGAAAAGGACUUUGAAGAGAGAGUUCAAGAGUACGUGAAACCGUUCGGAGGUAAACGAGUGGGCCCUCGAAUUGAGAAGGCGGGGGGACUCAGCCGAACGCCGCUGCCUGCCGUCGUGUCCGCGCUUCCCUCCCGGGACGCGGUGCGGCGGAUGUCGGCGGCGGCGGACGGCGCAUUUCUUCCCGUCCUCCGACGCUGCGACCGGUCGGGCGCGCCACGAGCAGUCGGCCUUACACGCGGGAGCUGGCAGGUAGCCGGGACAGUGCAUCCGCGCUGUCUCCGGUGUUUAGCCGUCCCGUUUUCGUGCAGCCGUUCGCCCGACCGCAGGACUCGGCCCUUAGGGGCCCGGCCGUGCCCUCCCCCUGGCGGGGAUCGGUUCUCGGCCCGGAAGGGAGGCCGUCGUCUCUUCCCCGUUUCACCCUAGUGUGGGCGGGGAGCGGCGGCGCCCGUUCGCCGGGUCGUUUCCGAGCGGGUGCNNAACACGGACCAAGGAGUUUAACAUGCACGCGAGUCAUUGGGUCGUGAACAGGCCCAAAGGCGCAAUGAAAGUGAAGGGCGGCUCUCCGUCGUCCGCGUUGGGAUCCGGCGGCCUCGGCCGUCGGCGCACCAACGGCUCGUCCGUGCCGCCACGUCGGCCGGGCGAAGCUAUAGCGUGCACGUUGAGACCCGAAAGAUGGUGAACUAUGGCUGGGCAGGACGAAGCCAGAGGAAACUCUGGUGGAGGUCCGCAGCGGUUCUGACGUGCAAAUCGAUCGUCAGACCUGGCUAUAGGGGCGAAAGACUAAUCGAACCAUCUAGUAGCUGGUUCCCUCCGAAGUUUCCCUCAGGAUAGCUGGCGCUCGGGAGGAAGCAGUCUCAUCCGGUAAAGCGAAUGAUUAGAGGCCUUGGGGCCGAAAAGACCUCAACCUAUUCUCAAACUUUCAAUGGGUGAGAAGUCCGGUUUGCUCGAUUGAAGCCUGGACAUUCUCGGAUGCGAGUGCCCAGUGGGCCACUUUUGGUAAGCAGAACUGGCGCUGUGGGAUGAACCAAACGACGGGUUAAGGGGCCCGAUGCAGGACGCUCAUGAGAACCCAUGAAAGGUGUUGGUUGCUAUAGACAGCAGGACGGUGGCCAUGGAAGUCGGAAUCCGCUAAGGAGUGUGUAACAACUCACCUGCCGAAGCAACUAGCCCUGAAAAUGGAUGGCGCUUCAGCGUCGACCCCAUACCCGUCCGCCGCGGCGGAGAUGCGAUCGCAUUAUGCCGCGGUGAGUAGGAGGGCGCGGGGGCGCGCGUGGAAGGUGCCGGGCGUAAGCCCGCCUGGAGCCGCCCCCGGUGCAGAUCUUGGUGGUAGUAGCAAAUACUCAAGUGAGAACCUUGAGGACUGAGGUGGAGAAGGGUUCCAUGUGAACAGCAGUUGAACAUGGGUCAGUCGGUCCUAAGGGAUGUCCGAAAGGAUUUCCGAAGGGGGCACCUUAUCUAAUGGUCUCUCCCAUGACCGAAAGGGAAUCGGGUUAAUAUUCCCGAACCCGGACACGGAGAUCGGCCCCCUCGGGGGCACGUGCGGUAACGCAAACGACCUAGGAGACGUCGACGGGGGUCCCGGGAAGAGUUGUCUUUUCUUUGUAAGGGUUCGGCUCCCUGGAAUCGGCUCGCCCGGAGAUAGGGAUGCUGAACCCGUAAAGCACCGCGCCUCUUGUGGUGUCCGGAGCGCUCCCGUCGGCCCUUGAAAAUCCUAGCGAGAGUUGGUGAUUUUCGUGCCGGCCCGUACCCAUAUCCGCAGCAGGU